This is a long non-coding RNA of Apodemus sylvaticus (European woodmouse), 230 nucleotides long. RefSeq lists it as uncharacterized. NCBI's taxonomy places the organism in Eukaryota, Metazoa, Chordata, Mammalia, Rodentia, Muridae. The record is from RefSeq and is a predicted model, not a curated record. The transcript is spliced from 3 exons.
UUGCUGGAGCUUUCCCAGAAGAAACUCUACAAAGAUGUGAUGUUGGAAACUUACCUGAACCUCAAAGCUGUAGGCUAUAAUUGGGAAGACCAUAAUCUUGAAGAACAUUGUCAAAGUAGAAGAAGACCUGAAAGGCAUGUAAGAAGUCAUAAUGGAGAGAAAAUCUAUGAGUGCAAUCAAUGUGGUAAAGCCUUUGCAAGACCCAGUCAACUCCAAAGACAUAGAGUCAC